UACGUAGGGUGCAAGCGUUGUCCGGAAUUAUUGGGCGUAAAGAGCUCGUAGGCGGUCUGUCGCGUCUGCUGUGAAAACCUAGGGCUUAACCCUGGGCCUGCAGUGGGUACGGGCAGACUAGAGUGCGGUAGGGGAGACUGGAAUUCCUGGUGUAGCGGUGAAAUGCGCAGAUAUCAGGAGGAACACCGGUGGCGAAGGCGGGUCUCUGGGCCGAUACUGACGCUGAGGAGCGAAAGCGUGGGGAGCGAACAGG
Molecule: ribosomal RNA, 253 nt
Filed under: uncultured bacterium
Lineage: Bacteria
Description: partial 16S ribosomal RNA
Rfam family: Bacterial small subunit ribosomal RNA
Source: RNAcentral